GGCCGCGGGAAUUCGAUUAGAGUUUGAUCCUGGCUCAGGGUGAACGCUGGCGGCGUGCUUGACACAUGCAAGUCGAACGGUAUGUGGCAACACAUAGAGUGGCGAACGGGUGAGUAACACGUGGGAACGUACCUUCUGCAGGGGGAUAACUGACCGAAAGGACAGCUAAUACCGCAUAAGACCGAGAGGAGAAAGGUGCAGCAGCAUCGGCAGAGGAGCGGCCCGCGGACCAUCAGCUAGUUGGUGGGGUAAGAGCCUACCAAGGCAACGACGGAUAGCCGGCGUGAGAGCGUGGCCGGCCACAAGGACACUGAGAUACGGGUCCUACUCCUACGGGAGGCGGCAGUGCGGAAUUUUAGAUAAUGGAGGCAACUCUGAUCUAGCGACGCCGCGUGCAGGAAGAAGGUCUUCGGAUUGUAAACUGCUGUGGUAAGGGAAAAAUGCCAUGUAGAGUGGAAAGCUACAUGGAGGGAUGGUACUUUACUAGAAAGCCCCGGCUAACUACAUGCCAGCAGCCGCGGUAAUACGUAGAGGGCGAGCGUUACCCGGAAUCACUGGGCGUAAAGGGAGCGUAGGUGGCCUGACAUGUCGACUGUGAAAACCCGGAGCUCAACUCCGGACUUGCAGUUGAAACUGCCAGGCUUGAGGACGGUAGAGGAAGACGGAACUGCCAGUGUAGGGGUAAAAUCCUUAGAUAUUGGCAGGAACGCCGGUGACGAAGGUGGUUUUCUGGGCCGGUUCUGACACUGAUGCUCGAAAGCCAGGGGAGCGAACGGGAUUAGAUACCCCGGUAGUCCUGGCCCUAAACGAUGU
RNAcentral lists this ribosomal RNA (813 nucleotides) under uncultured bacterium. RNAcentral's name for it is "partial 16S ribosomal RNA". It matches the Rfam family "Bacterial small subunit ribosomal RNA", at positions 1 to 812 of the family's 1533-position model. The record is from RNAcentral.